This 886-nucleotide ribosomal RNA is filed under the name Trichoderma longibrachiatum. RNAcentral describes it as "eukaryotic LSU rRNA". The stretch from base 242 to 395 matches the Rfam family "5.8S ribosomal RNA". Lineage: Eukaryota; Fungi; Ascomycota; Sordariomycetes; Hypocreales; Hypocreaceae. The record is from RNAcentral.
UUGGAUGACUCUUUCUGGGAAAUCGAGUUCACUCCCAACCCCAAUGUGAACGUUACCAAUCUGUUGCCUCGGCGGGAUUCUCUUGCCCCGGGCGCGUCGCAGCCCCGGAUCCCAUGGCGCCCGCCGGAGGACCAACUCCAAACUCUUUUUUCUCUCCGUCGCGGCUCCCGUCGCGGCUCUGUUUUAUUUUUGCUCUGAGCCUUUCUCGGCGACCCUAGCGGGCGUCUCGAAAAUGAAUCAAAACUUUCAACAACGGAUCUCUUGGUUCUGGCAUCGAUGAAGAACGCAGCGAAAUGCGAUAAGUAAUGUGAAUUGCAGAAUUCAGUGAAUCAUCGAAUCUUUGAACGCACAUUGCGCCCGCCAGUAUUCUGGCGGGCAUGCCUGUCCGAGCGUCAUUUCAACCCUCGAACCCCUCCGGGGGGUCGGCGUUGGGGAUCGGCCCCUCACCGGGCCGCCCCCGAAAUACAGUGGCGGUCUCGCCGCAGCCUCUCCUGCGCAGUAGUUUGCACACUCGCACCGGGAGCGCGGCGCGGCCACAGCCGUAAAACACCCCAAACUUCUGAAAUGUUGACCUCGGAUCAGGUAGGAAUACCCGCUGAACUUAAGCAUAUCAAUAAAGGGGAAGGAAAUUCCGAGUUUACAACUCCCAAACCCCAAUGUGAGCUUUACAAUCUGUUGCCUCGGCAGGAUUUUUUGCCCCGGGCGCGUUGCACCCGGAUCGAGGGCGCCGCCGGAAGACACUCAAACUCUUUUUAUCUCCUGCGACUCCGUGCGGUCUAUUUUAUUUUUGUUUAGCUUUUCGGCGACCUAGGGGGGUCUGAGAUGAAUAAAAAUUUUAUCAAUGUACUUUGGGUGCUGGUUCAUUAAAGUAACAGGAAAGGCAUUA